AAACUCAAUUGUGUAUAACACACACGGGUCGGCACGUACACCGGGGUGCUCUUAUGCGAUUUAUCGCAGCUUUGGAGUCGGUAGUAUGGGAUCCGUGGAGGCAUAAC
This is a small RNA of Moellerella wisconsensis ATCC 35017, 107 nucleotides long. It matches the Rfam family "t44 RNA". From Rfam's summary of the family: This family consists of a number of bacterial RNA genes of between 135 and 170 bases in length. The record is from Rfam. NCBI's taxonomy places the organism in Bacteria, Pseudomonadati, Pseudomonadota, Gammaproteobacteria, Enterobacterales, Morganellaceae.